AGAGUUUGAUGGUGGCUCAGGAUGAACGCUAGCUACAGGCUUAACACAUGCAAGUCGAGGGGCAGCAUGAACUUAGCUUGCUAAGUUUGAUGGCGACCGGCGCACGGGUGAGUAACACGUAUCCAACCUGCCGAUGACUCGGGGAUAGCCUUUCGAAAGAAAGAUUAAUACCCGAUGGCAUAGUUCUUCCGCAUGGUAGAACUAUUAAAGAAUUUCGGUCAUCGAUGGGGAUGCGUUCCAUUAGGUUGUUGGCGGGGUAACGGCCCACCAAGCCUUCGAUGGAUAGGGGUUCUGAGAGGAAGGUCCCCCACAUUGGAACUGAGACACGGUCCAAACUCCUACGGGAGGCAGCAGUGAGGAAUAUUGGUCAAUGGACGAGAGUCUGAACCAGCCAAGUAGCGUGAAGGAUGACUGCCCUAUGGGUUGUAAACUUCUUUUAUACGGGAAUAAAGUGAGGCACGUGUGCCUUUUUGUAUGUACCGUAUGAAUAAGGAUCGGCUAACUCCGUGCCAGCAGCCGCGGUAAUACGGAGGAUCCGAGCGUUAUCCGGAUUUAUUGGGUUUAAAGGGAGCGUAGGCGGACGCUUAAGUCAGUUGUGAAAGUUUGCGGCUCAACCGUAGAAUUGCAGUUGAUACUGGGUGUCUUGAGUACAGUAGAGGCAGGCGGAAUUCGUGGUGUAGCGGUGAAAUGCUUAGAUAUCACGAAGAACUCCGAUUGCGAAGGCAGCCUGCUGGACUGUAACUGACGCUGAUGCUCGAAAGUGUGGGUAUCAAACAGGAUUAGAUACCCUGGUAGUCCACACAGUAAACGAUGAAUACUCGCUGUUUGCGAUAUACAGUAAGCGGCCAAGCGAAAGCGUUAAGUAU
This 866-nucleotide ribosomal RNA is filed under the name uncultured bacterium. Its description in RNAcentral is "bacterial SSU rRNA". It matches the Rfam family "Bacterial small subunit ribosomal RNA", at positions 8 to 867 of the family's 1533-position model. The record is from RNAcentral.